CUACGGGAUGCUCCAGUGAGGAAUAUUGCACAAUGGGGGGAACCCUGAUGCAGCAACGCCGCGUGGAGGAUGACGCAUUUCGGUGUGUAAACUCCUUUUAUAUGUCAAGAAAAUGACGGUAGCAUAUGAAUAAGCACCGGCUAACUCCGUGCCAGCAGCCGCGGUAAUAAGGAGGGUGCAAGCGUUACUCGGAAUCACUGGGCGUAAAGGACGCGUAGGCGGGUUGGAAAGUCGGGUGUGAAAUCCUACAGCUUAACUGUAGAACUGCACUUGAAACUUCUAAUCUAGAGUAUGGGAGGGGGAGAUGGAAUUAGUGGUGUAGGGGUAAAAUCCGUAGAUAUCACUAGGAAUACCUAAAGCGAAGGCGAUCUCCUGGAACAUUACUGACGCUAAGGCGUGAAAGCGUGGGGAGCAAACAGGAUUAGAUACCCUAGUAGUC
This 439-nucleotide ribosomal RNA is filed under the name uncultured bacterium. RNAcentral describes it as "partial 16S ribosomal RNA". It matches the Rfam family "Bacterial small subunit ribosomal RNA", at positions 339 to 795 of the family's 1533-position model. The record is from RNAcentral.